GCGACUUCCUUUCUCCGAGUGCUUGCACUCAAUUGGAAAGAGGAGUGGCGGACGGGUGAGUAACACGUGGGUAACCUACCCAUCAGAGGGGGAUAACACUUGGAAACAGGUGCUAAUACCGCAUAACAGUUUAUGCCGCAUGGCAUAAGAGUGAAAGGCGCUUUCGGGUGUCGCUGAUGGAUGGACCCGCGGUGCAUUAGCUAGUUGGUGAGGUAACGGCUCACCAAGGCCACGAUGCAUAGCCGACCUGAGAGGGUGAUCGGCCACACUGGGACUGAGACACGGCCCAGACUCCUACGGGAGGCAGCAGUAGGGAAUCUUCGGCAAUGGACGAAAGUCUGACCGAGCAACGCCGCGUGAGUGAAGAAGGUUUUCGGAUCGUAAAACUCUGUUGUUAGAGAAGAACAAGGACGUUAGUAACUGAACGUCCCCUGACGGUAUCUAACCAGAAAGCCACGGCUAACUACGUGCCAGCAGCCGCGGUAAUACGUAGGUGGCAAGCGUUGUCCGGAUUUAUUGGGCGUAAAGCGAGCGCAGGCGGUUUCUUAAGUCUGAUGUGAAAGCCCCCGGCUCAACCGGGGAGGGUCAUUGGAAACUGGGAGACUUGAGUGCAGAAGAGGAGAGUGGAAUUCCAUGUGUAGCGUGUG
Molecule: ribosomal RNA, 647 nt
Filed under: Enterococcus faecalis
Lineage: Bacteria; Bacillati; Bacillota; Bacilli; Lactobacillales; Enterococcaceae
Description: bacterial SSU rRNA
Rfam family: Bacterial small subunit ribosomal RNA
Source: RNAcentral